AAAUUAAAGUAUUUUUGGUGAAUUAAUUUAAAUUUUGUGGAUUAUUUUCUGCAAAUUGUUUAUGUUUUAAGGAUGUUCAUUUUUAUUUGUGUGUGAUUCAUACAUAUAAUUAGUUCUUCCUUCGCUUCAAUUUCUUUGUGUAUUAAUUUACAAAUAAGUUGAAAUUUUAUUCUUUUUUCUUUUAACGUGAAGAUGUACGGUUUAAGUUUUAUCUAUCAAUUAUACUUCGUGUGAAAAUGUAGUAAUCAAAAUUAGUUUGCAAUAGAGCCUUAUCAUUUUCUAUCACUCAUGGACAGUUGAUAGAACUCUAUCACUUUCUAUCAUUGAUGGACGGUGAUAAAACUCUAUCACUUUUCUAUCACCGAUGGACAAUAAUUGAAGAAAAUUAAAGCUAGGUUGUCAAUGAAAAAUUUUAACCUCUUGGGUUGAAAAUAUAUUAUGUAAGCAACAUGAAGAAUCAAGAAGUUUCUUGGUUCAUCUUAUCAACAAUGUUCAAUACAAUGUAAUGGCUGGUGAUAAACAAUUCAUAGUGAAGUUGAAUUUGGGAUCUUGUAGCUGUCGAGUAUGGGAUUUCCAUGAGAUUCCAUGUUCUCAUACUCUUGUUGUUCUUCGGAUGCUUAACCUAAAUACUUAUUAUUAUGUGUCUGAUUAUAAUCACUCACAAACAUUUUUGUCAUCAUAUUUGGGUUGUGUGUGACAAGAUGUAGUACUUGUCAUGGAAAGGGUCAUAAUUCUAGAACUUGCAAACUUGGUCAAAUUAAACAAUGAUAUACUCAUUAUAGUUGCAUUUUUUUGUUGCAUCGCCAAAUGAAUUUAUAUUGAAAUUUACGAGUGUUA
Molecule: long non-coding RNA, 837 nt
Organism: Cucumis melo (muskmelon)
Lineage: Eukaryota; Viridiplantae; Streptophyta; Magnoliopsida; Cucurbitales; Cucurbitaceae
Exons: 2
Source: RefSeq, a predicted model, not a curated record